This is a non-coding RNA of Mus caroli (Ryukyu mouse), 516 nucleotides long. Lineage: Eukaryota; Metazoa; Chordata; Mammalia; Rodentia; Muridae. The record is from RefSeq and is a predicted model, not a curated record.
AGCAAGUAACAAGGGACACAUGGCUGGGAUGACCCAGGGAAGAGAAAGCUGUGAACGCUCUUACCCCACUCGCCCCCAUAUAGCUUGCUACAGAGAGACACACUCUCUAGAACAUUGCUUUUAAAAGAAUGAAAUAGGAUUUGUGGGCCAGGAGCCUGGCUCCUUGGAAUCUUGAAUCCUAACUUGGGCUCCCUGGCUUCUAACAAGUGUGAGAGGCCCUGCUGCUAUCAGAAUCUUUGCCUGUCUUCUAUGUGUUUUGUUAUGACACCUUGACACCUCUAUGACUGUGAUUGUCAAGCUUAAGAAAAAAAUGCCACCAGGAAAAGCUGUGGAGUCCCAGAUGCCACCUCCAAGGAUUCUGGAAUUACAAGGAGUUUCACUUCUCCAAGCACCAUGAGUGAUUCUGAGGACCACACUUGGUGAUAACAACUCAGAGGUCAAGACCGCUCUUCUACAAUCACAGGAAUGGGAAAACCAUUGUCCAAGAAGCUUAACUGGGAUUUCUUUUUGACCCGU